GAUGGACGCUGGCGGCGUGCCUAACACAUGCAAGUCGAGCGAUUCUCUUCGGAGAAGAGCGGCGGACGGGUGAGUAACGCGUGGGUAACCUGCCCUGUACACACGGAUAACAUACCGAAAGGUAUGCUAAUACGAGAUAAUAUGCUUUUAUCGCAUGGUAGAAGUAUCAAAGCUUUUGCGGUACAGGAUGGACCCGCGUCUGAUUAGCUAGUUGGUAAGGUAACGGCUUACCAAGGCGACGAUCAGUAGCCGACCUGAGAGGGUGAUCGGCCACAUUGGAACUGAGACACGGUCCAAACUCCUACGGGAGGCAGCAGUGGGGAAUAUUGCACAAUGGGCGAAAGCCUGAUGCAGCAACGCCGCGUGAGCGAUGAAGGCCUUCGGGUCGUAAAGCUCUGUCCUCAAGGAAGAUAAUGACGGUACUUGAGGAGGAAGCCCCGGCUAACUACGUGCCAGCAGCAGCCGCGG
RNAcentral lists this ribosomal RNA (468 nucleotides) under uncultured bacterium. RNAcentral describes it as "partial 16S ribosomal RNA". It matches the Rfam family "Bacterial small subunit ribosomal RNA", at positions 28 to 523 of the family's 1533-position model. The record is from RNAcentral.